GACACUGAUCCAGAACCAGAGGGCAAUUCAACUCCACAAAAGUUUAUUCUUCAAACAGGUUUGAUUGACAAACCACGAGUGAGUACCCUGAAACUAACAUAGAAAUAAAUAAAUCGGGCUCCUUUGAGACAUUGACUUUACUCUGAUUUACAAUUUUGUACAAAAUAUAUUAAUAUCAUUCAGUUAGGUAACAUUUCUUUGUUUCUUUAUCAAACAGAUCUGUGGUCUCCAUUUGCGUUGAGUUCCACAAGUUUUAAAAGUAUUAAAUAACAUUAACAUAGCCUACUUUUAGCAUUAAAGAAUUCAUGACGUAAAACUAUAACAAAAGUGAUUGUAUUUUGUUUCGUAUAUCCCUAUCUGUUGUAUCAGCUGUGUGUGUAUUCAUUUAUUUGUAUUAAUUUGUUUGUGUCUUCUUUUCAAAAGAACGUCUGACUCAAUCAUAAGGAAGAGUAAAAUGGACGCCCAUUCAUCAAAACGGGACGCUAAGGUGACAAUAACGAUAUCUAAGCAAAUUAAAAAAAGUGCGGACCUGGUAAGAACCCGCUAUGGUAAAAAAAAAAAAACAACGAUCCUAUAGUGCCACCAAGAUCCCCCGCAGAUAUAGUCUUGAGAGAAGAAGGCAUAUACUCGGUCUUUCCAUUUACUUAUGAUGUGUACGAAUGGACAGAUGGCUGUUGGCCAAUAGGUAGUUCUUUUGAUUCUUGCAAACUACAAGAAUUAAAAGAAACAAUAACGUCUGGACCAGAUCCGAAUUGGGAUUUUAAUUACACACAGAAUUGUUUAGAUGCAUGGAUUCGCACGGAAAAACGACACCCAAUACCGAAACCAGUUAAACAAGAAGUAACUCCAGAAAUCGCGUCUAACAUUUUCAAAAAAAACAACUAUGCAAAUCAACCCAGAUUGGACAGAAGUGUAUAGAACAGCUCUGUUGAACAUAACAGCAACUAGUAAUGCAGAACAUGUUGAUCAAUUAAUGACUGAAAUAGAGUUAACAGCCGCAGAAGUAGACGCUAUUAAAACAGCCCAAAACAACAUAAAAGACAAAACCGCCCUCGCUACACUUUGUGCAUGGAGCCAACGUCAACUCGUUAAAGAACCCCCCAGAUGCUAUUACUGCGAAAAGAUUGGUCAUCAGGAGAGAUAUUGCAGAAAGAAACACAGAGACAAGGCCAAACCGUCAGCCCCGCCCAUGGAACCAGUCAACGGCCCCCACACCAUGAAGAACACGCUCCAACGCCCAGGUGAGUAUAAUCAUUACUAGGACCCCUUGGAAAAGGAAACAAGGAUCCAGGCAACGCUUCUUCAACUGUCUUCCACCCCCACCGAAAAUCCAAAAUGCUCCGUGCAGAUGGCAAGGACCAAUCCAGGUGUAACUGACCACGAGGGCUGCAGUCAUACUCCAAGGAAAACCAGAAUGGAUCCAUGCAAGCCGAUGCCGCCCAGCACCUCCAGAAGAGGAAAGCACCAACGCCUUGAGGGGAAAAACGGUCUGUCUAGUUACUGGACCAGAUAAAAUGAGACGGAGAGCCUCGAAUGGACCACCUCUACCGCAAUCUGCAUAAUACUCCUGAUGAGCCCAGCAGACCAAUGCAACGCAACCACCAGCAACAACGACCGACUCCCAACCAUAGCGGAUUCCCAGCUAACCACAUCAUCACACAACCAGUUUGCAAGCCUACUUGCUGCAGCUCAAACCCACUUCAACACCACCAAGAAUGGGCCCCUUAGUCCAAUGAAGAGUUACCAAAUGGAAAAUGAGUGACCUAACAUGCUAGGCAUAAAUUUUACUAAUGUACAUAUUGAUCAUUUACUUUUACUUUUACUAAUUUCUUUGAAUUUGCAAUUUUACUAAUGUACAUAUUGAUUACUUUAUUAAUGAUUGAUUUUUACGAAUUUCUUUGAAUUUUAUUCCUAUUAUUCUGUGUUUUAACUUGUUUUACCCUCAUUUGUAAUCCUGUGACAUAAUAUAUCACCUGUAAUAAGUGUUGAUCUUAUGAUCAAAAAGGGAGGAACUGUCGUGGAAAUAUCAAUCAUAACUAUAAAUAUACAAUCACAUACAAAUUAUAUUAACCUGUUUAUAUAAUUA
This is a long non-coding RNA of Gadus morhua (Atlantic cod), 2086 nucleotides long. RefSeq lists it as uncharacterized. The record is from RefSeq and is a predicted model, not a curated record. Lineage: Eukaryota; Metazoa; Chordata; Actinopteri; Gadiformes; Gadidae. The transcript is spliced from 3 exons.